UAGUAGUAGUAGUAGUUAAUAGUAGUUAAAUGUUGUAAGAAUUAGACAAAUUUGAUUUCAAGUUUUCAUCCGACCAUCAUUAGCUAUCCAUCAAUUACAGGCAAACAUCCAAAGAUAUCAUUUUUCUUUUGUAACAUGAUUGGAUAAAAAAGCCUGAACUUCAAGCUGCCUAAUUAGUAAAACAAAAAGCUACCAAAACCGAUAAUUCGGAUAUAUCAAGAGAUCCAUUAAUGGUAGUUAUUAAUUUUCCACCAUAUGUAUU
Populus euphratica (Euphrates poplar) is the source of this 262-nucleotide long non-coding RNA. RefSeq lists it as uncharacterized. The record is from RefSeq and is a predicted model, not a curated record. The transcript has 3 exons. NCBI's taxonomy places the organism in Eukaryota, Viridiplantae, Streptophyta, Magnoliopsida, Malpighiales, Salicaceae.